This 110-nucleotide ribosomal RNA is filed under the name uncultured bacterium. RNAcentral's name for it is "partial 16S ribosomal RNA". It matches the Rfam family "Bacterial small subunit ribosomal RNA", at positions 1373 to 1482 of the family's 1533-position model. The record is from RNAcentral.
CCCGGGCCUUGUACACACCGCCCGUCACAUCAUGGGAGUUGGUUUUACCCGAAGUUACUGACCUGACCGCAAGGAAGGAGGUACCUAAGGUAAGGCCGAUGACUGGGAUG